This is a non-coding RNA of Delphinapterus leucas (beluga whale), 479 nucleotides long. The record is from RefSeq and is a predicted model, not a curated record. Lineage: Eukaryota; Metazoa; Chordata; Mammalia; Artiodactyla; Monodontidae.
ACAGCGCUGUGUGCCCAAUGGUCACGUGGAACUGAAUCUGAAAAACAAAACAGCGCAGGACGUGCAUCACGGAAGAAGGGUGAGUGUGAGGUGUGGCAUCGCUAAAGGACAGUCAGGUGCAGGCUCCAGCAAAGCAGAGAUGGAGAGUUCACGCAUCUGAAAAGCUGGAGGCAGACCUUGGCCAAACUGUGAAUUCAGAUUCUCUUCAACACUGAGAAGGCUACACACAAUUUCCUUUGAGUAAGAACCAACAGGUGCACUUGGGCCUGUCUGACAGCAGGAGUGGGCUUUGGGCUUGGAGAGGAGACAAAGCCUUCAGACUGAGAAGCUGUAUCUUGGUAUCCUCUGGAUCAGAACCACUAGAACUGUUCCCUAUCAAAAUAUAACUUGCUAUGUUUGGGAUUCGUUUAUGCUUAUCUCUGGGGUAAAUCUGUAGGUGUGAAAGUAGUCACAGAUAAAAAGCUAAAGCUUUACUUUCU